Molecule: ribosomal RNA, 311 nt
Filed under: Helicobacter pylori
Lineage: Bacteria; Pseudomonadati; Campylobacterota; Epsilonproteobacteria; Campylobacterales; Helicobacteraceae
Description: bacterial SSU rRNA
Rfam family: Bacterial small subunit ribosomal RNA
Source: RNAcentral
AAGGUUUAAGGAUUGUAAACUCCUUUUGUUAGAGAAGAUAAUGACGGUAUCUAACGAAUAAGCACCGGCUAACUCCGUGCCAGCAGCCGCGGUAAUACGGAGGGUGCAAGCGUUACUCGGAAUCACUGGGCGUAAAGAGCGCGUAGGCGGGAUAGUCAGUCAGGUGUGAAAUCCUAUGGCUUAACCAUAGAACUGCAUUUGAAACUACUAUUCUAGAGUGUGGGAGAGGUAGGUGGAAUUCUUGGUGUAGGGGUAAAAUCCGUAGAGAUCAAGAGGAAUACUCAUUGCGAAGGCGACCUGCUGGAACAUUA